CCUACGGGUGGCAGCAGUGGGGAAUAUUGGACAAUGGGCGAAAGCCUGAUCCAGCCAUGCCGCGUGUGUGAAGAAGGCCUUCGGGUUGUAAAGCACUUUCAGUGGGGAAGAAAGCCUUGGGGCUAAUACCCUCGAGGAAGGACAUCACCCACAGAAGAAGCACCGGCUAACUCCGUGCCAGCAGCCGCGGUAAUACGGAGGGUGCGAGCGUUAAUCGGAAUUACUGGGCGUAAAGCGCGCGUAGGCGGUCUGAUAAGCCGGUUGUGAAAGCCCCGGGCUCAACCUGGGAACGGCAUCCGGAACUGUCAGGCUAGAGUGCAGGAGAGGAAGGUAGAAUUCCCGGUGUAGCGGUGAAAUGCGUAGAGAUCGGGAGGAAUACCAGUGGCGAAGGCGGCCUUCUGGACUGACACUGACGCUGAAGUGCGAAAGCGUGGGUAGCAAACAGGAUUAGAUACCCCUGUAGUC
RNAcentral lists this ribosomal RNA (465 nucleotides) under Vreelandella stevensii. Its description in RNAcentral is "partial 16S ribosomal RNA". It matches the Rfam family "Bacterial small subunit ribosomal RNA", at positions 338 to 795 of the family's 1533-position model. Lineage: Bacteria; Pseudomonadati; Pseudomonadota; Gammaproteobacteria; Oceanospirillales; Halomonadaceae. The record is from RNAcentral.